RNAcentral lists this ribosomal RNA (484 nucleotides) under uncultured bacterium. RNAcentral describes it as "partial 16S ribosomal RNA". It matches the Rfam family "Bacterial small subunit ribosomal RNA", at positions 30 to 507 of the family's 1533-position model. The record is from RNAcentral.
AUUGAACGCUGGCGGCAGGCCUAACACAUGCAAGUCGAGCGGAUGAAGGGAGCUUGCUCCUGGAUUCAGCGGCGGACGGGUGAGUAAUGCCUAGGAAUCUGCCUGGUAGUGGGGGAUAACGUCCGGAAACGGGCGCUAAUACCGCAUACGUCCUGAGGGAGAAAGUGGGGGAUCUUCGGACCUCACGCUAUCAGAUGAGCCUAGGUCGGAUUAGCUAGUUGGUGGGGUAAAGGCCUACCAAGGCGACGAUCCGUAACUGGUCUGAGAGGAUGAUCAGUCACACUUGAACUGAGACACGGUCCAGACUCCUACGGGGGGCAGCAGUGGGGAAUAUUGGACAAAGGGCGAAAGCCUGAUCCAGCCAUGCCGCGUGUGUGAAGAAGGUCUUCGGAUUGUAAAGCACUUUUAGUUGGGAGGAAGGGCAGUAAGUUAAUACCUUGCUGUUUUGACGUUACCAACAGAAUAAGCACCGGCUAACUUCGUG